UAAUCCAAUUUAAAAUAUUUAUGCAUUUUAUAAAACUGUGUCUUCUACACCAUAAUUAUCUAUGUAAUAUUUAGUACAAACCGAACAUUUUAUUUUAAUGUUUGAAAACUUUUAUUAUUUACCAAAUUUUGAAUUUGAAUUUUGGACCGGUUUUGAUCUAACGAUUGAUUAGCAACAGUAAUGUAGGUAACGUGGCACCAUUAGCGUGGGAUUACUGUAGCUUAAUUACCCAGGCGUUACAAAUCUCCUCCACUACAAGAAAUCUCGUCCCAAGAUUUAGGAGGUAGAAGGAAAUAGUGCGGGGUAUUCAUCACACAGGCGGUCCUCGCGUUCCCAAGUAGCUUCGUCUUUAGAGUGAUUCGACCACUGGACUUUGAGGAACUUGAUCGCCUUCUGAUGUGUGCGGCGUUCAGCUUGGUCAAGAAUGCGGACCGGAUGCUCUUUAUAGGAGAGGUCCUGUUGCAAUUCGAGCACUUCAUGAUCCACUGCUCGGAUUGGAUCCUUGAUGCAACGGCGGAGUUGUGACACAUGGAUCACAUCGUGAACCUGAGAAAGGUUCGGCGGAAGCUCUAGUUGAUAUGCCACUUUUCCACGCCUUUUGAGAAUAGUGAAGGGACCUAUAUAGUGAGGAGCUAGCUUGCCCUUGAUCCCGAAGCGGUGAGCACCCUUCGUUGUUGUAACUCGAAGAUAAGCCUUUUCGCCAAGUUGAUAGACCAUGUCUUUGUGAUGAUGGUCAUACUGACUCUUCUGACGUGACUGAGCAGUCUUGAGAUUCUUGCGAAUAAUGCGAACUUGUUCUUCGGCCUAUUGGAUAAUAUCCGGAACGAAGAGUGGACGUUCCCCAGUUUCUGACCAGUUCAGAGGGGUUCGACACUUUCGUCCAUAUAGCACUUCGAAGGGGGACAUCUUCAGACUAGCUUGAUAGCUAUUAUUAUAAGAGAACUCGGCAUAUGGAAGAGAUUCCUCCCAUUUCUUGCUGAAUGAAAUUACACAAGCUCGAAGCAUGUCUUCGAGAACUUGGUUGACACGUUCAACCUGUCCUUGCGACUGAGGAUGAAACGCCGUAUUGAACGAUAGGUGAGUUCCCAUAGCUUCUUGGAAACUUGCCCAAAAUCUUGAAGUGAAUAAGCUGCCACGGUCUGAACUGAUAACUAGUGGAAUACCGUGAAGUGAAACAAUUCUGGACAUGUAGAGAGUAGCAAGCUGACUAGCAGUGAUUGUCUCUUUGACCGCCGGAAAAUGUGCAACUUUAGAAAUCCAGUCAAUGACGACAAGAAUAGCAUCAUUACCUUUCUGCGAUUCGGGAAAUCCAGUGACGAAGUCCAUUUCAACAUGGUUCCAUUUCCAUUCAGGAAUAGAGAUAGGUUGCAGAGUUCCAGCAGGCCUUUGAUGCUCUGCUUUGAUACGGCGACAAACGUCACACUUAGCAACAUAACGAGCAAUGUCCUGCUUCAUAUUAGACCACCAGAAUCUUUGGCGGAUGUCUUGGUACAUCUUUGUACUACCAGGAUGAAUAGACAAAGGCGUAUCAUGAGCUUCUUUCAUAACCUCUUUAGUCUGAUCCAGGUUUUUCCUCGAACGUGGUACCACUAGACGGCCUUUGAAGUACAAGGCACAAUCAUUGGCGAUAGAGAAGAAGGAGGGCUUUCCUUCCGCUAGAUGAUGUUUAAUCUUAUGGACUUCGGAGUCAUAACCUUGAAUAGUCUUUAUACCAGCUACGAGAUCUGGUACGACAGCCAGGGUAUUUAGAGAACCCUUAGUAACAACAUGAAGAUUCAUCUUCUGAAACUCUGGGGGAGGGGGCGAGUGCUCCAGGAGGAACAAUAUGAAGGUUCAGCUUUCUAAAUUCUUCGACAAGCAAGGGCUAAACUUUGUGAACCUGGAGGUGAUUGCAGUAAGACUUGCGGCUCAAGGCAUCAGCCAUUACAUUAGCCUUGCAGGGGGUAUAGGAUAUACCCACGUCAAAGUCUGCAACAAUCUCCAUCCAUCUCUGCUGACGGAGGUGCAGAUCUGGCUGAGUAAACAGAUACUUCAGACUUUGGUGGUCGGUGAAGAUUUCGCAACGAUUACCGAGAAGGUAAUGUUGCCACUGCUUCAUUGCAUGAAUGACAGCAGCAAGCUCGGGGUCAUGAACUGGGUAGUUUUAUUCGUGAGGGCGCAGUUGACGAGAGGCAUAAGCAAUCACUCUGCGCUCUUGCAUUAGGACACAGCCUAAUCCUUGAUGGAAAGCGUCGCAGUAAAUGACAAAGUCCUUCUUAGUAUCGGGUGGAGCAAGCACUGGGGCAGAAGUCAACUUGUCUUUGAGCGCCUGGAAACUUUCCUGACACUUGUCUGUCCAGUCGAACUUGACACCCUUAUGCAACAAAUUAGUCAGAGGCCUGGCAAUCUUGGAGAAGUUCUCGACGAAUCGACGGCAAUAGCUGGCGAGACCAAGAAAACUUUGGACUUGCUUGACAUUCUUCGGAGGAGUCCAAUCGAGAAUAGCCUGAACUCGUUCAGGGUUGACGGCAAUACCAUCCUUGGAGAUGGCAUGCCCAAGAUAGGUUACUUCGGGGAGCCAGAAUUCACACUUGGAAUACUUAGCAUACAGUUGAUGCUCUCGAAGCUUUUCCAGCACAAGACAAAGAUGUUCAGCAUGUUCUUCCUCAUUCUUGGAAAAUACAAGGAUAUCAUCCAGAUAAACCACGACGAACUUGUUGAGGUAAUCCAUGAAUAUAUAGUUCAUCAGACGAGAGAAGGUGGCGGGAGCAUUUGUUAAGCCGAAUGACAUGACGGUGUACUCGUAUGAUCCAUACCGAGUCACGAAGGCGGUUUUUGGGAUGUCCUCUUCACGAACACGGAUCUGGUGGUAACCCAACCUCAAGUCGAGUUUGGAGAACACUGAUGAGCCAGCCAGUUGAUCAUAAAGAUCAUUGAUCCGAGGAAGAGGAUAUUUAUUCUGAAUGGUAGCUUGGUUUAUAGGACGGUAGUCUUGGACUAAUCGGUUUGUCCCAUCCUUCUUCUUAACAAAGAGAGAAGGUGCUCCCCAAGGAGAGCAACUUGGGCGAAUGAAACCGUUGAGAAGAGAUUUGUCGAUUUCCUCCUUAAGCUCAAUGAGUUCAUGUGGCGGCAUCUUGUAGGGUCGUUUGGCUAUAGGGGUGGUGCCGGGUUUCAAGUCGAUGAUGAAUUCGACAGCUCUAGCAGCGGGAAUCCCUGGAAGUUCUUCUGGGAAGACGUCUUGGAAUUCACGAAUGACGGGAAUGUUUUCAAUGCCCUCGAGUGGUGCAGCAUUCAACGCAUUCAAGGCAUAAAGCCGUGCCUCGGCGUUCUGAACUAGAUGAGCUUGGUAAGCAAUUAUUUCAUCAGUAGGGUGUAGCAGAUGGACGACCUUAGUGGCGCAAACUAUAGAAGCAGUAUGCGCUUUCAACCAAUCCAUUCCCAGAAUGAGGUCGAUACUACAAGACUUCAGUACGAUGGGAGAGGCAAGGAAUUCCAGUCCUUCAAUUUCAACGGGACGUCAUUGCAAAUCAUGGAGGUCCGGCAUUGGCCCGCGGGAGUGUGUACCAGUAGCGAAGUGUUCAGGUCCUCGCUUUUAAUGCCAUGCAUGAAUGCAAAAUCCUCUGACAUGAAUGAAUGUGAUGCACCUGUAUCAAAUAAAACAGAUGCUGGUGCUGAAUUUACGAGGAGUGUACCCAUCACGGUAGCGGGCUGGUCUAGAACUUCGUUGAGAUCAACGUGGUUGGCAUGAACACGUCCAUAAGACUUGGCAUUGUUGUUGGGGGGCUGGUUGCUUCCACAACCAGUUGCUGGGAGGGCCAGUUGAUUCUGGUUCUGAUUGCAAUCCCUAGCACGGUGACCUGGUUGACCACACUUGUAGCACAUAUCAUUAUUAGGAGUGGGAACAGGAGCUUGGGGUGGCGGAGCUGGGAGCCUUGGCUGCCUAGGUGGAGGAGUAGGCAGACGAGGGGCAGCAUAGGACUGCCUUGGGGCAGGUGCAGUUGGCUGGUACAUGCUGUUGGGAAUCCAUAUCUUACGCUUCUGCAAGGACGGGCCCGAAGAUGAGCCCGUGUCACGGUUGCGCCUGUGAGAGCUCUGGUAUUCCUGCAGACCAGUUUCGACAUCGAUGGCCUUGUUCACUAGGGUGGCUAAAUCAGCGAAGUCAUGCGCUAGAAGUGCGAGCUUGAUGUCAGCUUGAAGGCCAUCACGGAACUUCUCCUGUCUGCGUGCAUCAGUUGAAAUGUCUUCUUCAGCAUAGCGGGACAAGUCAAGAAACUCCCGCUGAUUAGCUUCCACAGUUUUGUUGCCUUGGGUGAGGUUGCGAAACUCACACUUCUUCCGGUCCAUGACUCCCUGAGGAAUGAAGCGAGCACGGAAGGCAGCUUGGAAGUCUGUCCAGGUGAUGAUUGUUCCAACUGGCAGAGUACACCUGUGGCUGUCCCACCAUUGAGCAGCGGGUCCUUUCAGGAAGAAGGAAGCAAAGGUGACAUAGCUGGCAGGGGCUACAUCAGCAGACUCCAUCUCAUAGGUGAUGUCACGGAGCCAGUCAUUAGCAUCCAGAGGCUGAGUUGAGCUGCGAUACACAGUUGGGUUCAGGCGCAUGAAAUCCUGCAGAGUUACUGGGGUUGGCUGCUAGUUCAUAUUGGGGCGAGGAAACUGAGCCAUCAUAUUCUCCAUGAACUGGCGAUUCAUCUCAAGCCGUUGGAUCAUACCAGCCUUGUACUCAGGCGGUGGUGGGAAGUUGCCACCACGACCACGACCACCUGGUCUAACCAUCCUACUAAUAUAUAACAGGGGUAGUUCAGCAUUGAGAAAUUUGCAAAGACAAGAAUCAUUCAUGAUGAAACAUGCACAAUGAAAGCAGCACGAUAGAUACUACAUAGUAGUCAGCAUAUCUUACAAAAGAGAUCAUGCAUAGAGUUCGGUACACAGAGUUCAGUACAUAGACUAAUACAUCAUAGGCGGCACGCAAGCUCGCGGCGAAUGCACCUAACACUAACAAGCAAGCCUACAUCAGUCCCAGGAGGAACUGUGGAGGUAGGUGUAGCCUUACAGCUGGUAGUGACGCGAAGGGAAGACCUCCACGCGAGUAGCCUAGGGUCCGCGGAUACUCUGGUGCGGAACCCGAUGCGUAGGUGGCAGGAGAGGACCAAGUGCGGGAGAGUAGCCUCCGAGAGUAGCCUCGAUGUAGCCUGACAGCUGGCUACCUCGGCCGGCGGGAUGGCGGGGUCGGCGGCGAGCUCCGGUGCGGGGUGGUCGGGCGGCGGGGNNNNNNNNNNNNNNNNNNNNNNNNNNNNNNNNNNNNNNNNNNNNNNNNNNNNNNNNNNNNNNNNNNNNNNNNNNNNNNNNNNNNNNNNNNNNNNNNNNNNNNNNNNNNNNNNNNNNNNNNNNNNNNNNNNNNNNNNNNNNNNNNNNNNNNNNNNNNNNNNNNNNNNNNNNNNNNNNNNNNNNNNNNNNNNNNNNNNNNNNNNNNNNNNNNNNNNNNNNNNNNNNNNNNNNNNNNNNNNNNNNNNNNNNNNNNNNGCGCUAGGGUUCGGCGCGACGGGGCGGCUCGGUGGGCUGCGGGGUCGGGCGCCCCGUCUUUAAAGGCCGGCCCCGGAGGAGUCCGGGCCUAACACGGCCCGUAGGUCGGUUUCGUUUUUUUAAUUAUUCCGCACAGAAAAACAGAUGAAAGAAAUACUAAAUGGACUCCAAAAAUCCCGAAAUAAAUUUUCCUCGGCUUCUAAAAUCAAGCCGCACAAGGUGAGCAUUUAUUUGGGGCCUAAAUGCAAUUUUGAAAAACACACAUUUUUCCUAAAUUCAAAUAAAAUAACGAAAAGCUCCAAAAUAAAAUCUUAUUUUAUUUUAUUAUUAAAUCCUCAAUAUUUCUUUAUUUUGGGAAAGUCAUUUUAUUCCCUCUCUCAUAUUUUUAUAAUAGAAAUAAUUGAUGAUAAAAUAAUUAAAAGCAAAUGAUCCUAUUCUCAAAAUUUGAGAAACUCAAAUAUGAAAAUACCGAAAUCCCCAACUCUCUCUGUGUGUCCUUGAGUUGCGUAGAAUUUCUAGGAUCAAAACCAAAAGCAAGUAAAAUAUGAUAUGCCAUGAUGAUCUAGUGUAUAACAUUCCAAAUAAAAUUUGGGAUGUUACAAACCUACCCCCCUUAAGAUGAAUCUCACCCUCGAGAUUCGGGUUGGCUAGAAAAUAGGUGAGGGUGGUCCUUGAGCAAAUCUUCCUCUCACUCCCAGGUGGCUUCAUCCUCCGUGUGGUGGCUCCACUGAACCUUACAAAACUUGAUAACCUUGCUGCGGGUGACUCGGCUGGCAUAUUCUAGGAUCUUAACUGGUUUCUCCUCAUAGGUCAAAUCACUGUCCAACUGAAUUGCUUCCAAUGGCACUGUGUCUCUCAAGGGUAUGUCUCUCCGCGUGGCACUUCUUCAGCUGAGAAACGUGGAACACAUCAUGAACUCCUGACAAUCCUUCGGGCAAUUCCAACUUGUAGGCCACUUCUCCCAUAUGUUCCAAUACUCGGUAUGGUCCUACAAACCGUGGCGCUAACUUUCCCUUAACACCAAAAUGCUUUAUUCCUCGAAGUGGGGAUACUCGAAGAUAAACUCUGUCUCCGACUUCGUAAACUGUCUCCUUGCGUUUAGAAUCUGCAUAGCUCUUCUGCCUGGAUUGAGCUACCUUGAGUCUAUCGCGAAUCAAUUUCACCUUCUGUUCAGACUCCUUAAUCAAAUCAGGUCCAAACAACUGGCGGUCUCCAACUUCAUCCCAUGACAACGGUGUCCUGCACCUCCUUCCGUACAAGGCUUCGAAAGGGGCCAUCUUUAAACUGGAUUGAUAGCUGUUACUCUCUGACUUCUGAUGCUCUGCCUUUACUCUCUGACGUACAUCACAAACUGCUACAUACUCCGCAAUAUCUUUCUUCAUUCCGGUCCACCAGAAAGUAUCCUUCAAAUCCAAAUACAUCUUGGUAUUUCCUGGGUGAAUUGAAUAUGGUGAGUCAUGUGCCUCUUGCAGAAUUAACUUCCUGAUCUCCGGGUCAUUGGGCACAUAAACACGGUCUUCAAACCAUAGGGUGUCGUGCUCAUCCUCACGAAAUCCUUUAGCCUUUCCUUCGCUCAUUUUCUCCUUUAUAGAGACAAUCUCUUUGUCAGUCUUCUGAGCUUCUCUGAUUCUAUCCAUCAAAGUUGACUGAAUCUCCAAUGCUACUACAUAGCCUCUCAGGACUAUUUCCAAACAUAGCUCACGAAGAUCGUUGGCUAACUCCUUUGGUAUUUCUCCCAUCAUUAGUGUAUUGACAUGGCUCUUACGGCUCAAUGCGUCAGCUACUACAUUAGCCUUUCUGGGAUGGUAAUGCAAUCUCAUAUCAUAAUCCUUGAUGAGCUCCAACCAUCUCCUUUGUCUGAGGUUUAACUCCUUCUGCGUGAAAAUGUAUUUCAAACUCUUGUGAUCCGUGUACACCUCACAAUGAUUUCCAAUGAGGAAAUGUCUCCAUGUUCUCAAUGCAUGCACUACGGCUGCUAACUCCAAAUCAUGCGUGGCAUAAUUCAAUUCGUGAGGUUUCAGUUGUCGUGAGGCAUAUGAAACAACUCUCCCUUCCUGCAUAAGUACUGCUCCAAGUCCUCAUCGUGAAGCGUCGCAAUACACCUCAUAAUCCUUGGUCUGGUCUGGCAAAAUCAACACUGGUGAGGUAACCAAGCGUUUCUUCAACUCCUGGAAACUAGCCUCACACUCCUCAGUCCAUAUGAACUUGGUAUCCUUCUUUAAUAACUCCGUCAUAGGUUUUGCAAUCUUGGAUAAAUUCUCAAUAAAUCUCCGGUAGUAUCCUGUGAGUCCAAGGAAACUCCGGAUCUCUCCAACCAUGGUUGGUGCUUCCCACUUGGUCAUGGUAUCAACUUUAGUGGGAUCUACUAAUAUACCUUCUCCGGAUAUAACGUGUCCGAGGAAUCCUACUUCCUUCAACCAAAACUCACAUUUGCUGAACUUGGCAUACAACUGAUGUUCUCUGAGCUUCUCAAGUACCAAACACAAAUGUUCCUUAUGCUCCUCUUCAUUCUUCGAGUAAACCAGGAUAUCAUCAAUGAACACCACGACGAACUUAUCCAAGAACUCCAUAAACACUUUGUUCAUCAUGUUCAUAAAAUAAGCAGGUGCGUUAGUCAGAAGAAAUGACAUAACGGUAUACUCGUACAGCCCAUACCUGGUGGUAAAAGUUGUCUUAGGUAUAUCCUGUUCUCGAAUCUUCAACUGGUGGUAUCCUGAUCACAGAUCGAUCUUGGAAAAUACCUUAGCUCCUUGCAAUCGAUCAAACAGAUCAUUGAUCAUUGGUAGUGGGUACUUGUUCUUGAUGGUUACUUCAUUCAAACCUCGAUAAUCAACAACCAUCCUUAACGAUCCAUCCUUCUUUUCCACUAGAAGUACUGGCAAUCCCCAAGGCGAUGAACUUGGGCGAAUGUAGCCUUUAUCUAGUAACUCCUUAAUCUGCUUCUUAAUCUCCACCAAAUCCUUUGCGGGCAUCCUGUAUGGUCUCUUCGAUAUUGGCCCUGUGCCUGGUAAUAGCUCAAUCAAAAACUCAAAUCUCUAUCCGGUGGCAUACCUGGCAACUCUUCUGGAAAUACUUCAGGGAAAUCCCUUACCACUGGUACUUCCUCCUGCACAACUCCUGUUAAACAAUUUACUUGAGUCCCUUUUGGCACAUGCCGGGAUACAUACUUGAUCCUUCUCCCUUCUGGGGUGGUAAGCAAGAUCGACUUACUAGCGCAAUCGAUGUUUCCUCCAUACAUCGACAGCCAAUCCAUACCCAGAAUUACAUCCAAUCCUUGUGAUCCCAAAAUGAUUAAAUCCGAGGGAAACACAUGCCUACCUAUACUCAAUGGCACUUGAAAACAUCCUUGACUGGCCAUAUGCUCCGCUCCUGGUGAGCUUACUACCAUAGGUGUUCUAAGAACCUUAGUGGGCAGGUUAUACUUAUCCACAAAUCCCCUUGAUAUAUAUGAAUGUAAUGCACCAAUAUCAAAAAGAACGAGUGCAGUAAAUGACUUAACCAAAAACUUACCGAUUACUGCAUCCGGUUGCUCUUCAACCUCCUCCACGUUAACGUAGUUCACCUGUCCCCUGUUGAAAGGGUUCGGCUUCUUCCCAGAGCUUCCAUUGCCAUUCUGGCCUUUAGGACAUUCAUUGGCAUAAUGUCCGGUCUUCUGACACUUAAAGAAAGUGACUUGGCUCAGGUCUUUCUUGGCUGGGGUUGAUGGGUUGGUACGGUUCUGGCCGUUGCUUCCUCCAUUACCAUUACCAUUCUUGGUGCCAUUGUGGUUGUGCGAGGUACCUCCUCCAUGGGUAUGCUGAAAAUGUCCUCCCGAUCUAGGGGUAAAUCAUGGCUUCUGCUGAGCUCCUGAAUUGUACUUUCCUUGUGCAUACUUCCUCUUGUGAUUUUCAAUUUGCGGCUACUUCCCUUCAAUCAUAAGAGCACGAUCUACCAACUCCUGGUAGUUGUUGAAGGUUGCUAUCAUCAACUACAUGCUCAAUUCAUCAUUCAGUCCUUCCAGAAACUUCUCCUGCUUAGCUGCAUCCGUAGCAACGUCAUCUGGGGCAUAACGUGCUAAUUUACUAAAGUCCUCCACAUACUGGCCAAUUGUCCGUCCUCCUUGGUGCAAGUUGCGAAACUCUCGCUUCUUCAUGACCAUAGCUCCUGCUGAAACAUGGCAGUUCGAAAAGCCUGCUGAAACUGGUCCCAAGUGACAGUGUCGACAGGGAAAGUGGCUGUGAAAUUCUCCCACCAUGAUGUUGCGGGUCCUUCAAGCUGAUGUGCAGCAAACUUCACCUUCUCCGUAUCUGUGCAUCCUGCUGUGGUCAACUCUCUAGCUAUCUUGUGGAGCCAAUCAUCUACUACGAUCGACUCGGUGCUACUGGAAAACAAAGGCGAAUUCAGCCUAAGAAAACGGGCUAAGUGAUCAACAGGUGGUGGUGGUGGGUUGUUGUUGUUGUUCCCCUGAUUCUGAUUCUGGACUAGCAACUGCAUCAAUGUGUUCUGCUGCUAGAUCAACUGGGUGAGCUCCGGUGGAAAGGUAAAUCCGGGGUCACGUCUCGGAGGCAUCUGAGGGUUUAGAAAAGAUGAGAUUUAAGAAUAGAGGGGGUCUAAAGAGAAAACACUACCCAUAUGCACAUGAGGCAAAAGCAAACAAUUCACUUCAUUCUAUCAAACAAGGGCAUACAAUCGAUCUAACUAUCGCAAAAGUGCUUUGGACUACUGUAUUUACAUGGUGGACUACUACUACUGAUGAGGUGGUCUACUAGAAAUAUUCUUCGGUUGCAGACUCCAUGAUAUCUACUCCGGCUUCAUCAAUAUAGUCAUCAUCGCUAUCAUCUGGGUCCGAGUCGGUGUCAUCGAUGAUGAUGUAGUCUUCCGGGAGAAUCUCCUUGGGUUCUUCGUCUUCAUCUACUGGUGUAGGGCCUCCCAUAAAUAUCCCGAUCUUCUUGAUUAGAUCGUCAUUCUUCUCCACCAAUACUUCGAUUUCCUCUUCGUAAUCUUCACAUGUAGCCUUGAGUUCUUCCUCCAGUUCUUUGAUUCUUGUCCUAGCCUUCUUCAAGUCUAUCAUGUCGGUGCACAUCUGGUUCUCCUGUCGUCGAAUGUGCUGGUUUAGUUCCUGGAUAAAAGCUGCAAUUGAUCUAUCCUUUUUGGUGCUGAUCAUCUCCCAGUGCUCAUCUCGGCGCCCACAAAUCUGGUAGAUAGUAUCCUUGAGAUCAUUGCGGUAGACUUCUCCAAUGCGUCCCAUGGCGAUGUGAGCUGCCAUGCUCUUUCCUAGACUCCAAGUUGGUGGAUCAAAAGAAAAUUCUAUGGGCUCAGUAACUGGCAUGAACGUCCUUCCUGGAACUUGAACUUGAAUCAUCCAGCGCUCUUCUUCUGGUAAAGUGGUGUUGUAGGUUCUGGUGAAGCUUGGUACUCCUAUGUUUAGGUAUCUAGUGACUUCCUUCAGGUGACGUCCAAAGGGUGUAUCUUCAUCCGGUUGCGUGAACUUGUUCCUUGCAUCCGACAUCCUAAAGAGUAGAAAAGAUGAGAGGUCAGAAAAGAAGAGAGUGAUCUAGGUCUUUAGCUUAGUGGUCGUGUCCUACAGUCAACGUGUGCUCUGAUACCAUCUUUGUAGCGACCAGACCUCAAACAGUCUGAUCUCUGUGCUCAAGUGUCAUCCCUGGAUCAGUAAUGCUGACACCACACAAUACUUGAAGGAUUUAUAACAGAGUAGCAAUCACACACUUAUUACAUCGAGUGUCUCAAUAGAGAGCUAAUUACAAUAAAUAUGGCUCAAGGCCAUCUAAUAACGAUAACAGCGGAAGGCUUGGAAGAAAAGUGAGUCCAUCAAUUCCAACGGCAUCACUGAGUAUAGAACCACGACCUAAAAACUCCUUAAUCGUCAUCUGAAAAGUCUGCAACAUUAAUGUUGCAGCCCGAAAUGGGCCAGCACAUGGAAUAUGCUGGCAAGGUAACACAUAGAGAGUAAUGGAAUGAAACAGCUAUACUAUAUGCAUAUUUGGCUGGUGGAAAGCUCUAUGGUUACAGUUUUGCGUAAAGCUAAUUUUUCCCUACUGCAAAGGAAUAAAUUUUAUUUAACUAUCAUGGUAGUUGUUAAACAUUGAGAAUGGUUGACAGCAUUCUCAAUCCCAACUAAGCAUCAUCAUUAAACAAAACCCAACAAAAUUAAUUUAGAGUAACAUGUUGAGAUUCACAUGAUAAUCCAGGUACUAGAUACUCAAGAUGUCCAUAACCGGGGACACGGCUAACCAUGAUUAGUUUAUACACUCUGCAGAGGUUUGCGCACUUUUCCCCACAAGACUCGAUCGCCUCCGUUUGGUUUCUCGCACUACAUGGUGUUUGAGAAGACGGAUGACCGAGACAUAGUCUUUCAGAAACGCUAGCACCUUACGAUGGAUAGACCGUUACACCUACUUUCCCCUACAUCUGCUAGUCUACCCUGUAAGAGUUCGCACGACUUAAUCAACUAUGCUAGAGCCCAUAAUAGCUUGAAGCUGCACACGAAAGUUUCUAGUAUGAAAAAUCUCAUGAUCCCUUUGGGCCCGGGUGGCAGUCCAUAACGAAAAACAGGCAAUACUGGAAUACCCAGGUACCUCAAUCCACCCAGAUGUGUGUUUAAGUUGCCACCUUAGACAAACCAUUAAUUUAACAAACUCACAUCUGUCAUGGAUAUCACUCACCCAUUCCACGUCUACUAGCAUAGCAUAGCAAUAGUAAGCAAACGCAGAAGUAACUCCCAAAGGUUUGAUAAUACAACAGGUAAUAGGUACUACCUCAACUACUUCCCAAACCCACAAUUAAUUAGAUCCUAAUCAUGCAAUGUUUGAGGAUUGAUCUAAUGCAAUAAAAUUGGGUAGUAGGAGGUAUGAUCAAAGUGUUACUUGCCUUGCUGAUGAUCCGCGGAACCUAGAGAUUCGAAGUAACAGGCGGCGCACUCCGGGUAUUCUAUCGCAGACAAACAAACAAGCAUACAAUAAGUAUUUAUCUAAUGCACAGGUAAAACUCAAAUAAGAGAUCUAACCAGAAAGUUCAACUUAAGAACUCUAGUUUGCAAAAAGAAUCAAAUCAAACGAAGCAACGAAAGUCAAACGGCAAAAGAAAUAGGCUUCGUUUACUAUUCUCGAUCUAGGGAAAGUUUUAUAGUGGCAAAAACUUGUUUAAGUUGGUUAAACGGUUAGAGGGUUUCGAGAUGAAACUCCAGGCGCUUGAAUCGCCAGAUUCCGAUAAACGAGCGAAAAGUUAUACUAAAACGAAAAUCCGAUCAGAAAUCGCGAUCAGAAAUAAUCGCGGAAAAAUCCGAGAAAAAGAAAAACGAUGAACAGGUUAACGAACGAAUGUUCGUUAUCUGGAUCUAAACUACGAACGCGUUCGUUAAAACGAACGAACGGGGAACGCUCGCUAAUUAAACUAAACCGGAAGAAAAAAACCGAUCUAAUAAAAAACGGAUCUAAAAAAAUAAACCGUGGUUAAUAAAAAAACCGGGCGGCGACGGCGGCUACCUCGGCAGGCGGGGCGGCGGGGUUGGCGGCGAGCUCCGGUACNNNNNNNNNNNNNNNNNNNNNNNNNNNNNNNNNNNNNNNNNNNNNNNNNNNNNNNNNNNNNNNNNNNNNNNNNNNNNNNNNNNNNNNNNNNNNNNNNNNNNNNNNNNNNNNNNNNNNNNNNNNNNNNNNNNNNNNNNNNNNNNNNNNNNNNNNNNNNNNNNNNNNNNNNNNNNNNNNNNNNNNNNNNNNNNNNNNNNNNNNNNNNNNNNNNNNNNNNNNNNNNNNNNNNNNNNNNNNNNNNNNNNNNNNNNNNNNNNNNNNNNNNNNNNNNNNNNNNNNNNNNCGCGGCGCGGGCGGCGCUAGGGUUCGGGGCGGCAGGGCGGCUCGGUGGGCUGCGGGGUCGGGCGCCCCGGCUUUAAAGGCCGGCCCCGGAGGAGUCCGGGCCUAACACGGCCCGUAGGUCGGUUUCGUUUUUUUCUAAAUUAUUCCGCGCAGAAAAACAGAUAAAAGAAAUACUAAACGGACUCCAAAAAUCCCGAAAUAAAUUUUACCCGGCUUCUAAAAUCAAGCCGCACAAGGUGAACAUUUAUUUGGGGCCUAAUUGCAAUUUUGAAAAACGCACAUUUUUCCUAAAUUCAAAUAAAAUAAUGAAAAACUCCGAAAUAAAAUCUUAUUUGAUUUUAUUAUUAAAUCCUCAAUAUUUCUUUAUUUUGGGAAAGUCAUUUUAUUCCCUCUCUCAUAUUUUUGUAAUAGAAAUAAUUGAUGAUAAAAUAAUUAAAAUCAAAUUAUCCUCUUCUGAAAAUUUGAGAAACUCAAAUAUGAAAAUACCGAAAUCCCCAACUCUCUCCGUGGGUCCUUGAGUUGCGUAGAAUUUCUAGGAUCAAAACCAAAAGCAAAUAAAAUAUGAUAUGCCAUGAUGAUCUAGUGUAUAACAUUCCAAAUUGAAAAUUUGGGAUGUUACACUGGAGGAUUCAUAGUCCUCAAGUGUAACAAGUCUUCAGGUCACGCGGAUAGAAAGACUUCAGGUAUGCCUAACAUUCUUUGGCUCUAGGUGUUUUGGGCUUUGUCCUUGCAAGGAUCUCUCUCUCAAAGGCUUUGGGGGUGGGUUGCUCUCAAAUGACAAAAGUCGUAAACUAACUCUAAGCAACCACCAAUUUAUGGUGUAGGGGGUGGGCUAUUUAUAGCCUGGAGGCAGCCCGACAUGAUAUGUGAAAUGACCCUGGGUCACUAAGGAAACGACACGUGUCCAAUGGUCAUAUUUCAAACACAUGCGGCAACUUGACUUGGGCUACGAGCAAAGUUGACUCAUCCAUCUCUGGAUAAGAUUUGCUCUCAUUGUCUUUGCUCGAAGACAUAUGAUUUUGGUUGAGCAUCACCUCAGUCACUCUGACUUUGUUCACUUGGACCCCACUUAACAGUGUGGUGGUUCCUAUGACUCAGUAAAGAAGAAAAGGAAACUACGAAACAACUAUGUCUUCACACUCCAUAGUCCUCCAUAGUCUUCAAGUGAAUGUCUUCACAUGUCAUUAUCUUCAUUGUGGAUGUCUUCACGAACCACCAUUGUCAUCAAUGUCUUCACACAUUUUUAUGGGUCACCUCUAGUAGGUAAACCGAAUCAAUAAGGGACUACUACCCAUCUUAUCCUGUGAUUCUCACAAACACAUUAGUCCCUCAACCAAAUUUAUCGUCAAUACUCCAAAACCAACUAGGGGUGGCACUAGAUGCACUUACAAAUGGCGAUGCCCCGGCAGUUGUAUGGAACGAGGUAUUGUACUAGUGUUCUCCUAACGAUAGCCAGGUGGCCCAUUUGGUCAGGGCAUCAUGAGUGAAGCAGCAAAGGAAUGCCUCCAUACAUUGGUUUAGGCACUCUGUUUGUCCAUCGGUUUCUGGGUGACAAGCCGAGCUCAUAUUCAGAAUGGUGUCUGACUAUUUGAAAAGUUCCUUCCAAAAUGCACUUGUAAAGACUGAAUCUCUGUCCGAAAUAAUUUGUGAUGGCAUUCAGUUGAAUUUGCACACUUAAUCAAAGAAAAGUUGAGACACUUGUUGUGCUGUGUAUAAAUGUUGUAGGGGCAGAAAAUGUACAUACUUCGUCAGUUUGUGGACAACCACCAGGAUGACAUCACGAGGCAGCUCUCGGAGCUGGCUGCUCCCACGUCGGGCGCAGGCUCGUCGGAGAGGUGGAUCCCUCCGAUGAGAUCAGCGAGACAGCUUGCCAUGCAAGCGGUUUACGCGCCGCACAGUGCGUCAACGCAAAUGCCAUAAGGCAUGCUGGGCUAGCUGCGCUCGCCAGGAAGGAAAAGGGUUCCCAUCCAAAACAUGUUUCCGGACGACGGUGCACCUUGCCCCAUGGUAGGCACCAAAUGUCGGGGAUAUCUAGCGACAUAUGCCAAGGGGUGGCUUAUCAUGGAGGAGGCAAGAGUACGUCUCCGGGCUCUAGAAGCGGGAGUGAGAGUGACCUCAAAUGCCUACAAGGUUUACCCAGGUUCGGGGCUCUCCGUGGAGAUAACACCCCUAGUCCUGCUCUGCGGGGUCUCCGCAUGAUGACUAUCGUCAAUAGAGUAGCUACAAGUGUGCUCCCUGAGCUGUUUUGCUAGAGGACGAAGAAGGGCAAGGCUAGCCUCUACUUCUCUCUAUGUGUGUGUAUGCUGGCUAGGAUUCAGAACACUUUGCAUGGGUGAGCUUGGCGGGUUUAUAUAGGCCUACCCCCUAGGGGUACAAUGGUAAUAAAGCCGGGGUAGGUGUCGGUGUCAAAACCGGCGGAUCUCGGGAAUGGGGUCCCGAACUGUGCGUCUAAGGUCAAUGAUAACAGGUGACAAGGGACACGGUGUUUACCCAGGUUUGGGCCCUCUUGAUGGAGGUAAUACCCUACGUCCUUCUUGAUUGAUCUUGAUGAGUAUGAAGAUUACAAGAGUUGAUCUACCACGAGAUCGUUGUAGCUAAACCCUAGAAGUCUAGCUUGUAUGAUUAUGAUUGUCUCUACGAACUAAACCCUCCAGUUUAUAUAGACACCAGAGGGCCCUAGGGUUGUACAAAGUCGGUUUACAAAGGAAGGAAUCUACAUAUCCGAAUGCCAAGCUUGCCAUCCACGCAAAGGAGAGUCCCAUCCGGACAUGGGAGGAAGUCUUCUAUCUUGUAUCUUCAUGGCCCAAUAGUCCGGCAAAUGUCACACAGGCCGGACGCCCGAGGACCCCUUAAUCCAGGACUCCCUCAGUGGCCACUGAACCAGGCUUCAAUGACGAUGUGUCCGGCGCGCAGAUUGUCUUUGGCAUUGCAAGGUGGAUUCCUCCUCUGAAUACUUCCAAAACAACCUUUGGACACAGAGAACGUGUCCGGCUCUGCAAAACGAGUACCACACACACACACGCAGAGUGUAUAAUACUUUACGAGUCCAAUCUACUGACAACCUUUGUAGCGUGACGUCACGUCGCUGCCCGGUCAUUAUUUCAAACUGUUUCUUAGCCCCACGCUCCAUGUUUCUGAUGCGGUUUUAUUGGCACGUCUUGUCAAAGCAGAGAUCGUGUCCCCUUAUUGCGGGAUUCUAAUCCAUACGGGCUUGGGUAACCCAACCGCGCCGUCUGCACGACCCUUAGGGAAUAGGCGAUUUUUAAGGUGAGUGGGGAGGCCCUUGAUAUUCGCAGCCUUUAUAAAGGGAUAAGGAUUUCACCUUUUCACCCACGCCCUCUUCCUCUCUGCCCAUCCAUUCUUGAGCUCCAGCGCCCAAGCUUCCAUCCUUUCCACCCCAAAAAGGUACUCCAGCCAUGUCCGGAUCUGGAGCAUAAGGCAAGUGGAUGGUUUCCUCUGUCAAGGAGAAGGACAUCACCAAGCUUCGGAAGGCUGGGUACUUAGCCCAGGAAAUCGCCCACCAGCUUCCAACAAGGGGGCAGAUCAUCCCCACCCCGGAGCCCCAUGAGAGGGUGGUAUUCAUCCCCCACUUUGUCCGUGGAUUGGGAUUCCCUGUCCACCCAUUCGUCCGCGGACUCAUGUUCUACUACGGGCUGGAUUUCCACGAUCUGGCCCCCAACUCCUUCCUCAACAUCUCGGCAUUUAUUGUAGUGUGUGAGGCCUUCCUCCGCAUCCCACCCCACUUCGGAUUGUGGUUAAAGAUCUUCAAUGUGAAGCCGAAGGUGGUGGGCGGUCAACACGCAGAGUGCGGAGGCGCCAUGGUGAGGAAGAUGCCCAACUUCUCAUGGCCCAAAGGUUUCUUCGUGGAAACCAUCAAAGGGUGGCAACAACAAUGGUUCUACGUCACAGAGCCUCGCGAUGCCACCUGGGCCGCGGCUCCCGAAUUCCAGUCUGGCGCCCCGAUGCGGCUCACCUCCUGGCUGGAGAAGGGCCUAGACUGGUGUUUGUCGGAUGAGCUGACAACGCUUUAGACGCACAUCAGGAGCAUGGUAGACAAGAACAUGAAGCUUGUCAAUGUGAUCCAGGUGAUGCUUGUUCGCCGGAUCCUUUCGUGCUAAUGUCGGGCUUGCCAUUUGUGGGAGUUCGAUCCGCCGAGCACCGGACCUUGCAAUAGUUCUUCGGCACAAUGCACGAAGACAUCUGGAAGGUGCUCUUUAAGGCCAAUGAAACGUGGCCAGCGACGACCGAGGACCGUGGGCAUGACCUGGCCCAUCACUCCAGUUCGGUAAGUUUUUCGCAUUUCAAGGUGUAUCCUUUACUUGCAUACUCAAGGAAGACGCCUAAGCUUCCCUAUUUGUUUGUUCAGGGCUGGACAAAGAAGGCGGAGCGGAUCUAGUGUCCGGCUCCGCUGCCCGAAGACCCAACAAUCCCUCUUCUGACGAAGAUGCUGGUUUCGGCGCCCUACCAAGCGCCGGAGAAGAAGGCCAAGGAGACCAGGAGUGGUCUCCGCCGUAAGGGCACUUCGGAUGUGACGUCCGAAGAUGCCGAGACCCACUCCUCCCACACCGGUGACGAGGAGGAGGAGGAGGAGGAAAGCAACUCUCCCCCAGAGGGGGGAGAAAGAAAAGGCCGGCCUCCACGCAUCUGGAGGCAGAGGCGUCCAAGAAGGGAAGGUCUCCCUCGCGGAUAACUCUGCGUGGGACAAUGACAACAACUCCGAGUGGCGCCCCAGGGAUAAGCCCCUAGUCGAAUCAUAAGUACUCAAAGGCGCACACAUAUAUCUAGCUCCUUUACUUCAUGGUUUUAACAUGUUGAAUUAUGCGCUGCAGUCCGGCUCUUUCCGACCUCUAGUGAUCCUCAUCUUCGGGGAAUUCGCUGGAUCCGAAGGUGAUGGACAGCGGGUCCCUUCCGGCGGCCUCUUAUCCCAAGGCCAUGGAUGACACCGAGGUGCUGUCCCGAAGGACCCCCCCUCCCAGGCCAGGGAGAGACACGGGAGGCCGUCAGGGUGACGCUAGAGGGUAAAUCCUCGGCCGCCGGACACAUGGGGGAGCAAAUCCCCAUGGAGACUGGCGAUGGGGGCCAUAUCCAAUCCAGCCCCCAGCCGAAUACAAUUCCGGAGACCUAUACGGCUCCGAAAUUCGGCAGGCAACCUCCUUCGAAAGAAGGAGGUGCACCGAUUCCACCGGUGACCUCUGUCCAUCCAGAGGCACCGGAUACUCUACUGGAAGCGCUGCGAAGUGCUUCCAUUGUUGAGGAACAUCGUACCCUCAUGGGUACGGUGGUUGAGAGGAUUCAUUCUGCAAAGAACGGACUGACCGAAGCCUGCACAAGCCUUCUAACAGGCAUUGAGGUAUGAAACGCAAUUUAUGCAAAAGGAAUGCCAUAGUAUAGAUAGUAGCGUCUGAGACACUGCUCGGUGGUCGAAAAGAAGAGACGGACAAAGGGUCAACUAGUUUUCGCAGGAGACUAACCAUACGUGUCGAUGUGAAUAAGCAGGCGUCUUUGCUGGCUGCGACCUCUCAUGCUGCUGAGGUCUUCGGACUUAAGCGGAGUCUGGGGCGGACCGAGGAAGAGCUCUGCCGUGUGAAAAAACAGUUGGAGGACCAUCAACGUAUGCAAUGACCUUGUGUAGAUUCAGAAAGGAUGAAUAAUUUGUGUUGUUCAUAGUGGCUUGAUAUUUUGUAGGAGCGGUGACCGAGGUGGAGACCUUCAAGAAGGCACUGGCCGAAGCCCAGGAGAGAGCGGCAAAGGAACAAGCCACUCGCGAGAAACACGAGGCCAGGGUUGGUGAGGUCCAGCAGGAGCUCCAUGACGCCAUGAAGAAAUGCGAGUCCUUGGAGUGCAAUAUUGUGGAUCAAGAAUCCGAACUUGCCAACGCCCACCAAAGCGCACACGAUGCCCGGGUUGAAGCCCAGGGCGCCCUCCAGGAAAUCCAGGAGGCCAGAAAAAUCAUGACUGGUGAGGCCUUUAAUAUGCAGAGCAUGUAUGUGAAGAAAAGGUUCCUCUUACUGACCCAGAUUUGGAGUUCUUCAGGGGAGUUUACGGAUCUACCGCGCAGUGUUGCCAAUGCUGCGAAAUUCUUCCGAGCCAAAGAGGGGAGCUCGACGGAGAAGCUAUUCUGGUUGCAAUUUCUUGCGCCAGAGCAUCCAGUGCCCUUUAGCGAUCAGCUGAAACAGCUGAUCGAACUACAUAGGGUGGCCGAACUAGCCAUGACGGAUUUGAUAAUCCGUCUAUGGCCUGCCGAUGCCAUACCCAGCAGCUACUUCGGGCUCGUGAAGCGGCUGGUCGGUGCCUGCGCUCGGCUUGAUGCCAUCAAGCGGUCGGUCUGCAUUGAAGGUGCGCAGAUGGCCUUCGCUCGUGUCAAGGUGCAGUGGGCGAAGAUGGACGCCGUCAAGCUCGCCACCGCGGGAUCGCCCGCGGGCAAGGAGCACCGCAUGCCCGAGUGGUAUUUUGAUGAUGUCCUGAAGGGAUCCCGCAUUGUAGAGGGCCAGUGUUCAAAAGACAUUAUCUUUGAAUGAAGUCAUUCAUGUUAUCCCUUCCUGUAUUAUGAAACAAAGUCUUAUGUAAUAUAAUGUUUGUUGUUUGAAAAUUUUACCUCCUGUGCGGCCAUUUUGUUAAAUCUGAGAGUUGGCGAGUCGUCGACUUCAACCCCCACGUAGGUAGUACGGGGGUGCUCGGGAUGAAUCUAAACACUCUUGAUCCAAGAGUUUGGUCCUUGAAGGAGGUGUUUAGCGCAACGAACCAGGCAAUCGGACUAUGUGGCUUUAUCACCCUCACUUAGCCAUAGGAGUUUGACAAUAGAAAUGUAGGUGCAGCCCCUAGUUAGUAUUUAAUCUGGACUAGGGUGCUAUAGACACCAGAUAAGGAGAGGCUGAUUCGUCGCACAAUGCGGAAAAAAUCGCAAAAGAUUUUUAACCUCCGAAUAGCUGACCAGCUCUCGCUGUAUCAUGACAGUCAGUUUUCGACUUUCUCUACCGAGGUGUUUUCUUGGAUAAACCAGAAACACAAUCAGUAGUUCUCCCUUUACUACCCUAGCCGAUAGGACAAAAUGUAAGGUAGAAAGCAUAGGAGCCGGACAACCCAACUAUUGACCAAAGACAUGAUUCGGAGCCAAUGCAUAUAAUGCUAAAAUUCGGGGUGCCAAACUGUACUGUAAAAAGUGUUCGAACUUUGUUGCCGUAGUUUGGAGCACAAUGAAGGCCUUGGCGAAUUAAAGCAUACCAAAGUGUAUGGGUGCAAUCGAUAAGAAUAGCGAAAUAAAAUGAAGGAGUAAGCUAGUGCCACAUAAACUGGGCCGCAAACUGCUUCCAUUAUAAUUUGAUUAAUACGCCAAAGCGUAUUUGUACAAAUAGUGCGAUAAGCAACCUGGCUAUUUAACAUGCCAAGACCAAGGGGGAGCUGCGUGCGGGUCCCGAAAGCGGGUAGAAUGAUCGUCAAGAAGAACAUCUAGAGAUCCCCCCACACGUCUGUGUUGCUUGCUGCCUUGGUAUAUCCAUCCUUCAAAAGGGCUGAUGAUCAAGCCGUCGAGAGGGGCCUGUAAAGAAGAGACCAAAAAAUGGUAGAAAGGAAAAGGAAAAGUAUGUGUGGGAGCCGUAUGAUGGACCACAAUCAAGUUAUGCCUCUGUCUAUGCCCAUGGUAUUUUGAGUGUGUAGUUAUGUAUGCGUAGUACGUACGCCACCAUUUGGUCGGGACUGAGAUGGAGGCCGAAUUGCUAGUCGAGCUCCUGACGGGCUGGACUGUCCUGCUGCAGAGUAGUCCAGAUUCGUUUGACAGUGUUCGGGAGCUUGGCCACCGAAUUAAGGUUCUGCUUGAUAAGGCCGCUCUGUACUUUUGCUGCUAGGGCUGCGGUUUGCUCCUCGGUAUGGAGGGAGCGCUCCGUGUUUCAAUUGACUAUUAUCACACCGCAUGGUCCGGGCAUCUUAAGUUUGAGAUAAGCAUAGUGUGGCACCGCAUUGAAUUGAGCGAAUGCAGUUCGUCCAAGCAGUGCAUGAUAGCCACUGUGGAAGGGGACGAUGUCGAAGAUCAAUUCUUCGCUUCGGAAGUUGUCCGGGGAUCCGAAGACAACUUCCAAUGUGAUUGAACCCGUGCAGCGGGCCUCUACACCUGGCAUUACUCCUUUAAAGGUAGUUUUUGUGGGCUUGACCCUUGAUGGGUUGAUGCCCAUUUUGCGGGCUGUGUCCUGAUAGAGCAGGUUGAGGCUGCUGCCACCGUCCAUGAGGACUCGUGUGUGGUGGAAUCCAUCAAUAAUUGGAUCAAGGACCACUAUAGCUGAAUCGCCAUGACGGAUACCGGUCGGAUGGUCCCUACGAUCGAAGUUGAUCGGGCAGGACAACCAUGGGUUGAAUUUUGGGGCGAUUGGCUCUAUCGCAUAGACAUCCCUGAGCGCAUGUUUGCGCUCCCUCUUGGGGAUAUGGGUAAUGUAUAUCAUGUUCAUCGUUUUAACCUGGGGGAACUUCUUCUGUCCCCCUGUGUUCGGUGGACAGGGCUCCUUGUCGUCAUUCUCACUUUGCGACCCCUUCUCCUUGUCUUCGGCAUUUAACUUCCAGCCUGUUUGAAGACCCAACAACUCCGGUGGGUAUGAUUGGCUGGUUUAUCAGGGGUGUCGUGGAUCAGACAUGGGCGAUCGAGUAUGCGGUCCAAGCUGGAAGAGCCCGGAUUGUUCCUUUUAUAUGGCUUCUUCCACUGACCGGACUUGGAACCACUGAAUCCGGCGUUGACCGCCGUGUCAUCAGUAUUGUCACCAUUGUUUUGACGCUUAUGCCUGUCGCGUCGGGGCUUGCCGUUGCUAUUCUUGGCUUCGGAAGUGCCAGGUUCGCUUGCAUUAUUAUUGCUACGGGCUAGCUAACUAUCUUCGCCCGCACAAAAGCAGGUCAUAAGUGCCGUGAGGGCUGCCAUGGACUUCGGCUUUUCUUAGCCGAGGUGUCGGGCGAGCCAUUCGUCGUGGAUGCUAUGCUUAAAGGCCGCUAGGGCUUCGGCAUCUGGGCAGUUAAUGAUCUGGUUCUUUUUAGUUAAGAACCCGGUCCAGGAUUUCCUGGCUGACUCUCCGGGCUGUUGAACUAUGUGGCUUAAGUCAUCGGCAUCCAGAGGUCUGACGUAUGUGCCUUGGAAGUUGUAGCGAAGGCGUCUUCCAGGUCCUCCAAGCUGCCAAUAGAGUUUUCAGGUAGGCCGUUCAACCAGUGUCGAGCUGGUCCCUUGAGUUUUAGGGGGAGGUAUUUGAUGGCAUGAAGAACAUCACUGCGGGCCAUAUGAAUAUGGAGAAGAAAGUCCUCAAUCCAUACCGCGGGGUCUGUUGUUCCAUCGUAUGAUUCGAUAUUCACCAGUUUGAACCCUUCUGGAAAUUCAUGUUCCAUUACUUCAUCAGUGAAGUAGAGGGGUGUGUGGUGCCUCUAUAUCGUACCAGGUCGCGACGUAGUUUGGAUGGCGUCCGUCUGCGGCUUUCGGCCCGGACAUGAUUAUUUUUGUCAUGUUCGGCUUGAUAGUCGUCCCGGUGCGUCGGGGUAUGCCCCCGCGAUCCAUAGAUUGGUCUGGCCGGACCUGCUUUAUUCUUCAGGUCCUACCGCGGGUCAUAUGUGUAUCCCCGAGCUAUUGUGUCUCUACCUUUACGGCAAGAUAGUAUGGGCCGGUGUUCGUCUUGAGUUGCCGUUUUGUCCUGGCCACGUGGUGGUCGGUCAGCCGCAUUAUGCGCCACUGGUACGGGCUCAAGUGCCUUGUCGUCGAAUUGAGAUAGCAGUGUACGCUUCGGGUAACUUUUGGUUGGGCACACGAGGCCAUACUCCUCGGCUGCCAGGACAUUAGUCCAUCUGUCGUUGAGUAGAUCUUGAUCAGCUCGAAUCUGUUGUUGUUUCUUUUUCAGGCUCCUUGUAGUGGCUAUUAGUCGUUCCUUAAAGCGCUCUUGCUCGAGAGGUUCCUCGGGCACGAUAAAGUCUUCAUCGCCGAGGCUCACCUCAUCCUCGGAGGGUGGAAGGUAAUUACUCUCCUCCGAGUCUUUGUUUGCGGCCUGUUCAUCAGGGCUAACUUGCCCAUCCUCCCGAUCAUCUUGUUCGACGGGGUUUUCUUGGUCUUCGGCAUCGUCUGGAGUAUUGUUCUCUCUCGUACCGGUAUUGCUUUCUUUGCUGCAGCGUGAUUUAGAGCAGCACCAUCGGCGUUUUGGUUGUAUCACGGGAGGUUUAUCAUCUACUGGAUUUUUCUCAUUAUCGCCGUCACCCUCCUUGGGUGUAUCCACCAUGUACACGUCAUACGAAGAGGUGGCCAUCCAGCGUCCGGUAAACGGCGGGUUUUGGGGCUCCUCUUCUCCGGCAUCGUCGUCCAUACCGUCGAUGUCUUCGGAGCCAUAAUCGAGCAUGUCUGUUAAGUCCUCGACAGUGGCGAUGAAGUGGGUGGUGGGUGGGGCGUAAAAUUCCCCAUUCUCAGCCCCUAGUCGGGCUGGGCGUAGUUCGGAUGUUGCUCCUUCGUAAUGAUGAGGGAUCGCAUCAAGUCCAGAGCCUCGCUUAAGGGCGAGGUUUGGCCAGGGAGAAGAGAGUCUGUGGAGUACGACGGGAAGGGGAUUCCUUGGCCGAGCUCACACGAUGCGGACUCCGAGAGUUUGGAGCCAGUGUCCGGGGAAGAGUCCGACUUUGUGAUGGUUGCCAGUGAUACUGCUUCUUCUGGCUCUCCCGUAUUGGGCUUAGUGGCCGCAGAUAGUCCAGCGGGUUUAGAAAUCCCGUCUUCGGACCUAGCGACGCGCUCUAGCUCUAAGGUCAGAGCGGAGGUUUGUUGGAAAUAUGCCCUAGAGGCAAUAAUAAAAGGAUUAUUAUUAUAUUUCCUUGUUCAUGAUAAUUGUCUUUUAUUCAUGCUAUAAUUGUGUUAUCCGGAAAUCGUAAUACAUGUGUGAAUACAUAGACACCAACAUGUCCCUAGUAAGCCUCUAGUUGACUAGCUCGUUGAUCAACAGAUAGUCAUGGUUUCCUGACUAUGGACAUUGAAUGCCAUUGAUAACAAGAUCACAUCAUUAGGAGAAUGAUGUGAUGGACAAGACCCAAUCCCAAACAUAGCACAAGAUCGUAUAGUUCGUUUGCUAGAGUUUUUCCAAUGUCAAGUAUCUUUUCCUUAGACCAUGAGAUCGUGUAACUCCCGGAUACUGUAGGAGUGCUUUGGGUGUACCAAACGUCACAACGUAACUGGGUGACUAUAAAGGUAUACUACGGGUAUCUCUGAAAGUGUCUAUUGGGUUUACACGGAUCAAGACUGGGAUUUGUCACUCCGUAUGACGGAGAGGUAUCUCUGGGCCCACUCGGUAAUGCAUCAUCAUAAUGAGCUCAAAGUGACCAAGUGUCUGGUCACGUGAUCAUGCAUUACGAUAUGAGUAAAGUGACUUGCCGGUAACGAGAUUGAACGAGGUAUUGGGAUACCGACGAUCGAAUCUCGGGCAAGUAACGUACCGAUUGACAACGGGAAUUGUAUACGGGGUUGCUUCAAUCCUCGACAUCGUGGUUCAUCCGAUGAUAUCAUCGAGGAGCAUGUGGGAGCCAACAUGGGUAUCCAGAUCCCGCUGUUGGUUAUUGACUGGAGAGCCAUCUCAGUCAUGUCUACAUGUCUCCCGAACCCGUAGGGUCUGCACACUUAAGGUUCGGUGACGCUAGGGUUGUAGAGAUAUGAAUAUGCAGUAACCUGGAAGUUGUUCGGAGUCCCGGAUGAGAUCCUGGACGUCACGAGGAGUUCCGGAAUGGUCCGGAGGUGAAGAAUUAUAUAUAGGAAGUGCAGUUACGGCCAUCGGGAGAGUUUCGGGGGUCACCGGUAUUGUACCGGGACCACCGGAAGGGUCCCGGGGGUCCACCGGGUGGGGCCACCCAUCCCGGAGGGCCCCAUGGGCCAAAGUGGGGAGGGGAACCAGCCCAUAGUGGGCUGGUGCGCCCUCUUGGCCCACCCCAUGCGCCUAGGGUUGGGAACCCUAGGGUGGGGGGGGGCACUUGCCUUGGGGGCUACUCCACCCUUGGCCGCCGCCCCCUAGGAGAUCCCGUCUCCUAGGGCCGGCGCCCCCCUAGGGGAGCCUAUAUAAAGGGGGGGAGAGGGAGGGGCAGCCGCACCCUUGAGUCUUGGCGCCUCCCUCUCCCCUGCUACACCUCUCCCUCUCGUAGUAGAACGGCGAAGCCCUGCUGCGGUGACCCCUGCAUCCAUCACCACGCCGUCGUGCUGCUGGAUCUUCAUCAACCUCUCCUCCCCCCUUGCUGGAUCAAGAAGGAGGAGACGUCACGCUGACCGUACGUGUGUUGCACACGGAGGUGCCGUCCGUUCGGCGCUAGGAUCUCCGGUGAUUUGGAUCACGUCGAGUACGACUUCCUCAUCCCCGUUCUUUGAACGCUUCCGCGCGUGAUCUACAAAGGUAUGUAGAUGCAAUCCGAUCACUUGUUGCUAGAUGAACUCAUAGAUGGAUCUUGGUGAAACCGUAGGAAAUUUUUUGUUUUCUGCAACGUUCCCCAACAGUGGUAUCAGAGCUAGGUCUAUGCGUAGUUCUCUUUGCACGAGUAGAACACAAUUUGUUGUGGGCGUAGAUGUUGUCAACUUUCUUGCCGCUACUAGUCUUAUUUUGCUUCAGCAGUAUUGUGGGAUGAAGCGGCCCGGACCAACCUUACACGUAUGCUUACGUGAGACCGGUUCCACCGACUGACAUGCACUAGUUGCAUAAGGUGGCUGGCGGGUGUCUGUCUCUCCCACUUUAGUUGGAGCGGAUUCGAUGAAAAGGGUCCUUAUGAAGGGUAAAUAGAAGUUGACAAAUCACGUUGUGGCUUUCACGUAGGUAAGAAAACGUUCUUGCUAGAACCCUAUUGCAGCCUCGUAAAACUUGCAACAACAAUUGGAGGACGUCUAACUUGUUUUUGCAGCAAGUGUUUUGUGAUGUGAUAUGGCCAAAGUUGUGAUGAAUGAUGAAUGAUAUAUAUGUGAUGUAUGAGAUGUUCAUGCUAUUGUAAUAGGAAUCACGACUUGCACGUCGAUAAGUAUGACAACUGGCAGGAGCCAUAGGAGUUGUCUUUAUUUUUUGUAUGACCUGCGUGUCAUUGAGAAACGCCAAGUAAAUUACUUUACUUUAUUGCUAAAUGUGUUAGCCAUAGUAGUAGAAGUAAUAGUUGGCGAGCAACUUCAUGGAGACACGAUGAUGGAGAUCAUGAUGAUGGAAAUCAUGGUGUCAUGCCGGUGACAAGAUGAUCAUGGAGCCCCAAGAUGGAGAUCAAAGGAGCUAUGUGAUAUUGGCCAUAUCAUGUCACUAUUAUUAUUUGAUUGCAUGUGAUGUUUAUCAUGUUUUUGCAUCUUGUUUACUUAGAACGACGGUAGUAAAUAAGAUGAUCCCUCAUAAUAAUUUCAAGAAAGUGUUCCCCCUAACUGUGCACCAUUGCGACAGUUCGUUGUUUCGAAGCACCACAUGAUGAUCGGCUGUGUUAGAUUCGAACGUUCCCACACAACGGGUGUAAGACAGAUUUACACAUGCAAACACUUAGGUUGACUUGACGAGCCUAGCAUGUACAGACAUGGCCUCGGAACACAGAAGACCGAAAGGUCGAGCAUGAGUCGUAUAGAAGAUACGAUCAACAUGAAGAUGUUCACCGAUGUUGGCUAGUCCGUCUCACGUGAUGAUCGGACACGGCCUAGUUAACUCGGAUCAUGUUAUACUUAGAUGACUGGAGGGAUGUCUAUCUAAGUGGGAGUUCAUUGAAUAAUUUGAUUUAGAUGAACUUAAUUAUCAUGAACUUAGUCCAAAAUCUUUACAACAUGUAUUGUAGAUCAAAUGGCCAACGUUGUCCUCAACUUCAACGCGUUCCUAGAGAAAACCAAGCUGAAAGACGAUGGCAGCAACUAUACGGACUAGGUCCGGAACCUGAGGAUCAUCCUCAUAGCUGCCAAGAAAGAUUAUGUCCUACAAGCACCGCUAGGUGAAGCACCUAUUCUCCCUGCAGAAGAAGACGUUAUGAACGCUUGGCAGACACGUACCGAUGAUUACUCCCUCGUUCAGUGCGGCAUGCUUUACAGCUUAGAACCGGGGCUCCAAAAGCGUUUUGAGAGACACGGAGCAUAUGAGAUGUUCGAGGAGCUGAAAAUGGUUUUUCAAUCUCAUGCCCGGAUCGAGAGAUAUGAAGUCUCCGACAAGUUCUUCAGCUAUAAGAUGGAGGAAAAUAGUUCUGUCAGUGGGCACAUACUCACUAUGUCAGGGUUACAUAACCGCUUGACUCAGCUGGGAGUUAAUCUCCCGGAUGACGCGGUCAUUGACAGAAUCCUUCAGUCGCUUCCACCAAGCUACAAGAGCUUUGUGAUGAACUUCAAUAUGCAGGGGAUGGAAAAGACCAUUCCUGAAGUAUUUGCAAUGCUGAAAUCAGCAGAGGUAGAAGUCAAAAAGGAACAUCAAGUGUUGAUGGUGAAUAAAACCACUAAGUUCAAGAAAGGCAAGGGUAAGAAAAACUUCAAGAAGGACGGCAAGGGAGUUGCCGCGCCCGGCAAGCAAGCUGCCGGGAAGAAGCCAAAGAAUGGACCCAAGCCCGAGACUGAGUGCUUUUAUUGCAAGGAAAGUGGUCACUGGAAGCAGAACUGCCCCAAAUACUUAGCGGACAAGAAGGCCGGCAAAAUGAAAGGUAUAUGUGAUAUACAUGUAAUUGAUGUGUACCUUACCAGAACUCGUAGUAGCUCCUGGGUAUUUGAUACCCGUGCAGUUGCUCACAUUUGUAACUCAAAGCAGAAGCUGCGAAAUAAGCGGAGACUGGCGAAGGACGAGGUGACGAUGCGUGUCAGGAAUGGUUCCAAGGUCGAUGUGAUCGCCGUCGGCACGCUACCUCUACAUUUACCUACGGGAUUAGUUUUGAACCUCAAUAAUUGUUAUUUAGUGCCAAGUUUGAGCAUGAACAUUGUAUCAGGAUCUCGUAAUACGAGAUGGCUACUCAUUUAAAUAUGAGAAUAAUGGUUGUUCUAUUUAUAUGAGAGAUAUGUUUUAUGGUCAUGCUCCGAUGGUGAAUGAUUUAUUCUUAAUGAAUCUCGAGCGUAAUGCUACACAUAUUCAUAGUGUGAGUACCAAAAGAUGUAAGGUUGAUAAUGAUAGUCCCACAUACUUGUGGCACUGCCGCCUUGGUCACAUAGGUGUCAAACGCAUGAAGAAGCUCCAUGCAGAUGGACUUUUAGAGUCUCUUGAUUACGAAUCAUUUGACACAUGCGAACCAUGCCUCAUGGGUAAAAUGACCAAGACUCAGUUCUCAGGAACAAUGGAGCGAGCAACCAACUUAUUGGAAAUCAUACAUACUGAUGUGUGCGGUCCAAUGAGUGUUGAGGCUCGCGGUGGUUAUCAUUAUGUUCUCACCCUCACUGAUGACUUGAGUAGAUAUGGGUAUGUCUACUUAAUGAAACACAAGUCUGAGACCUUUGAAAGGUUCAAGGAAUUUCGGAGUGAGGUUGAGAAUCAACGUGACAGGAAAAUCAAGUUCCUGCGAUCAGAUCGUGGAGGAGAAUACUUGAGUCAUGAAUUUGGCACACACUUAAGAAAAUGUGGAAUAGUUUCACAACUCACGCUGCCUGGAACACCUCAGCAUAAUGGUGUGUCCGAACAUCGUAAUCGCAGUCUAUUAGAUAUGGUGCGAUCUAUGAUGUCUCUUACCGAUUUACCGCUAUCUUUUUGGGGCUAUGCUUUAGAGACUGCCGCAUUCACUUUAAAUAGGGCUCCGUCAAAAUCCGUUGAGACGACACCGUAUGAGUUAUGGUUUGGGAAGAAACCUAAGCUGUCGUUUCUAAAAGUUUGGGGAUGCGAUGCUUAUGUCAAGAAACUUCAACCUGAAAAGCUCGAACCCAAGUCGGAAAAAUGCGUCUUCAUAGGAUACCCUAAAGAAACUAUUGGGUAUACCUUCUACCUCAUAUCCGAAGGCAAGAUCUUUGUUGCCAAGAAUGGAUCCUUUCUAGAGAAGGAGUUUCUCUCGAAAGAAGAAAGUGGGAGGAAAGUAGAACUUGAUGAAGUAUUACCUCUUGAACCAGAAAAUGGCGCAACUCAAGAAAAUGUUCCUGAGGUGCCUGCACCGACUAGAGAGGAAGUUAAUGAUAAUAAUCAUGAAACUUCAGAUCAAGUUGCUACUGAACUUCAUAGGUCCACAAGGACACGUUCCGCACCAGAGUGGUACAGCAACCCUGUCUUGGAAAUCAUGUUGUUAGACAACGGUGAACCUUUGAACUAUGAAGAAGCGAUGGCGGGCCUGGAUUCCGACAAAUGGCUGGAAGCCAUGAAAUUCGAGAUAGGAUCCAUGUAUGAAAACGAAGUAUGAAUUUUGACUGACUUGCCCGUUGAGCGGCGAGCCAUAGAAAAUAAAUGGAUCUUUAAGAAGAAGACAGACGCGGAUGGUAAUGUGACCAUCUAUAAAGCUCGGCUUGUCGCUAAGGGUUAUCGACAAGUUCAAGGGGUUGACUAUGACGAGACUUUCUCACCGGUAGCGAAGCUGAAGUCCGUCCGAAUCAUGUUAGCAAUUGCCACAUUCUAUGAUUAUGAGAUAUGGCAAAUGGACGUCAAAACGGCAUUCCUUAAUGGUUUCCUUAAGGAAGAAUUGUAUAUGAUGCAGCCGGAAGGUUUUGUCGAUCCUAAGAAUGCUGACAAGGUGUGCCAGCUCCAACGCUCGAUUUAUGGGCUGGUGCAAGCAUCUCGGAGUUGGAACAUUCGCUUUGAUGAGAUGAUCAAAGCGUUUGGGUUUAUGCAGACUUAUGGAGAAACCUGCGUUUACAAGAAAGUGAGUGGGAGCUCUGUAGCAUUUCUCAUAUUAUAUGUAGAUGACAUACUUUUGAUGGGAAAUGAUAUAGAGUUUUUGGACAACAUUAAGGCCUACUUGAAUAAGAGUUUUUCAAUGAAGGACCUUGGAGAAGCUGCUUAUAUAUUAGGCAUCAAGAUCUAUAGAGAUAGAUCAAGACGCCUCAUAGGUCUUUCACAAAGCACAUACCUUGAUAAGAUAUUGAAGAAGUUCAAUAUGGAUCAGUCUAAGAAGGGGUUCUUGCCUGUGUUGCAAGGUGUGAAAUUGAGCUCAGCUCAAUGUCCAACCACGGCAGAAGAUAUAGAAGAGAUGAGUGUCAUCCCCUAUGCCUCAGCCAUAGGUUCUAUUAUGUAUGCCAUGCUGUGUACCAGACCUGAUGUAAACCUUGUCGUAAGUUUGGUAGGUAGGUACCAAAGUAAUCCCGGCAAGGAACACUGGACAACGGUCAAGAAUAUCCUGAAGUACCUGAAAAGGACUAAGGAAAUGUUUCUCAUUUAUAGAAGUGAUGAAGAGCUCGUCGUAAAGGGUUACGUCGACGCUAGCUUCAACACAGAUCUGGAUGACUCUAAGUCACAAACCGGAUACAUGUAUAUUUUGAAUGGUGGGGCAGUAAGCUGGUGCAGUUGCAAGCAGAGUGUCGUGGCGGGAUCUACAUGUGAAGCGGAGUACAUGGCAGCCUCGGAGGCAGCGCAUGAAGCAAUUUGGGUGAAGGAGUUCAUCACCGACCUAGGAGUCAUACCCAAUGCGUCGGGGCCGAUCAAACUCGUCUGUGACAACACUGGAGCUAUUGCACUUGCCAAGGAGCCCAGGUUUCACAAGAAGACAAGGCACAUCAAGCGUCACUUCAACUCCAUUCAUGAAAAUGUUCAAGAUGGAGACAUUGAUAUUUGUAAAGUACAUACGAACCUGAAUGUAGCAGAUCCGUUGACUAAACCUCUCCCUAGAGCAAAACAUGAUCAACACCAGAAUUCCAUGGGUGUUCGAUUCAUUACAAUGUAACUAGAUUAUUGACUCUAGUGCAAGUGGGAGACUGUUGGAAAUAUGCCCUAGAGGCAAUAAUAAAAGGAUUAUUAUUAUAUUUCUUUGUUCAUGAUAAUUGUCUUUUAUUCAUGCUAUAAUUGUGUUAUCCGGAAAUCGUAAUACAUGUGUGAAUACAUAGACACCAACAUGUCCCUAGUAAGCCUCUAGUUGACUAGCUCGUUGAUCAAAAGAUAGUCAUGGUUUCCUGACUAUGGACAUUGAAUGUCAUUGAUAACGAGAUCACAUCAUUAGGAGAAUGAUGUGAUGGACAAGACCCAAUCCUAAACAUAGCACAAGAUCGUAUAGUUCGUUUGCUAGAGUUUUUCCAAUGUCAAGUAUCUUUUCCUUAGACCAUGAGAUCGUGUAACUCCCGGAUACCGUAGGAGUGCUUUGGGUGUACCAAACGUCACAACGUAACUGGGUGACUAUAAAGGUAUACUACGGGUAUCUCCGAAAGUGUCUGUUGGGUUGACACGGAUCAAGACUGGGAUUUGUCACUCCGUAUGACGGAGAGGUAUCUCUGGGCCCACUCGGUAAUGCAUCAUCAUAAUGAGCUCAAAGUGACCAAGUGUCUGGUCACGUGAUCAUGCAUUACGGUACGAGUAAAGUGACUUGACGGUAACGAGAUUGAAUGAGGUAUUGGGAUACCGACGAUCGAAUCUCGGGCAAGUAACGUACCGAUUGACAAAGGGAAUUGUAUACGGGGUUACUUCAAUCCUCGACAUCGCGGUUCAUCCGAUGAGAUCAUUGAGGAGCAUGUGGGAGCCAACAUGGGUAUCCAGAUCCCGCUGUUGGUUAUUGACCGGAGAGCCGUCUCGGUCAUGUCUACAUGUCUCCCGAACCCGUAGGGUCUACACACUUAAGGUUCGGUGACCCUAGGGUUGUAGAGAUAUGAAUAUGCAGUAACCCGAAAGUUGUUCAGAGUCCCGGAUGAGAUCUCGGAUGUCACGAGGAGUUCCGGAAUGGUCCGGAGGUGAAGAAUUAUAUAUAGGAAGUGCAGUUACGACCAUCGGGAGAGUUUCGGGGGUCACCAGUAUUGUACCGGGACCACCGGAAGGGUCCCGGGGGUCCACCGGGUGGGGCCACCGAUCCCGGAGGGCCCCAUGGGCCAAAGUGGGGAGGGGAACCAGCCCAUAGUGGGCUGGUGCGCCCCCCUUGGCCCACCCCAUGCGCCUAGGGUUGGGAACCCUAGGGUGGGGGGGGGCACCCCACUUGCCUUGGGGGCUACUCCACCCUUGGCCGCCGCCCCCCUAGGAGAUCCCAUCUCCUAGGGCCGGCGCCCUCCUAGGGGAGCCUAUAUAAAGGGGGGAGAGGGAGGGGCAGCCGCACCCUUGAGUCUUGGCGCCUCCCUCUCCCCUGCUACACCUCUCCCUCUCGCAGUAGAAUGACGAAGCCCUGCUGCGGUGACCCCUGCAUCCAUCAACACGCCGUCGUGCUGCUGGAUCUUCAUCAACCUCUCCUCCCCCCUUGCUGGAUCAAGAAGGAGGAGACGUCACGCUGACCGUACGUGUGUUGAACACGGAGGUGCCGUCCGUUCGGCGCUAGGAUCUCCGGUGAUUUGGAUCACGUCCAGUACGACUUCCUCAUCCCUGUUCUUUGAAUGCUUCCGCGCGUGAUCUACAAAGGUAUGUAGAUGCAAUCCGAUCACUCGUUGCUAGAUGAACUCAUAGAUGGAUCUUGGUGAAACCGUAGGAAUUUUUUUGUUUUCUGCAACGUUCCCCAACAAGGUUGGGGUCAUUAAUCCUUGGAAGAUCAAGUCUCCUGAGAUGUCAGCGACAUAAUCCGAGUUUCCAAAACUAAUCUGGUGACCUGGGGCGUAGCUAUCGAUCUGCUCUAGAUGGCCAAGCAAGUUGGCCCACAGUGCGAAGCCGCCGAACACAAAGAUCUGACCGGGGAGGAAAACCUGCCCCGGGGCAGCACUAUUGUAGAUGAUUGAUGGAGCCAUCGAACCUUCUGGUGACGACACAACGGAACACUCAAUGAAAGCACCAAUGUCGGUGUCAAAACCGGCAGAUCUCGGGUAGGGGGUCCUGAACUGUGCGUGUAAGGUCAAUGGUAACAGGAGACAAGGGACACGGUUUUUACCCAGGUUCGGGCCCUCUUGAAGGUGGUAAUACCCUAUGUCCUGCUUGAUUGAUCUUGAUGAGUAUGAAGAUUACAAGAGUUGAUCUACCACGAGAUCGUUGUAGCUAAACCCUAGAAGUGUAGAGUGUAUGAUUAUGCUUGUCUCUACAGACUAAAACCUCCGGUUUAUAUAGACAUCGGAGUGACCUAGGGUUGUACAAAGUCGGUUUAAAAAGGAAGGAAUCUGCAUAUCCGAACGCCAAGCUUGCCAUCCAUGCAAAGGAGAGUCCCAUCCGGACAUGGGAGGAAGUCUUCUAUCUUGUAUCAUCAUGGCCCAAUAGUCCAGCCCAUGUCACACAAGCCGGACGCCCGAGGACCCCUUAAUCUAGGACUACCUCAGAAGGACCCGGUCGUCACUGUCUCUGGGCGCCGGCUUCUCCGCCAGCUGCUGGGGACCGCCGCUUGGUGGGUCCCGCCAGCUGCCGUGAACUCGGCCGACAGGUAGGGCCCGUCGCCUGUGGGUCACAUUGAUUUCUUUAUACUAUGGCCUCACCCUUGAUGGCGAGGCUUUGUCGGGGGGUGCAUGGCUACAGUCCCGCCGCCUGGCGGGCGCUCACUGUAGCUACACCCCAUCUCAUUAGGUUAAUGGCACGCAGACUCUGAGGGGAGGGAGGGCCGCCUGUUAGGAGUCGGCCUGCCCUCGACGCUGUCGGACAGGUAGGGCCCGCCGCCUGCGGGCCGUACCGACCGCCCGUCGUGGGAGCAUGGCUACCUGUGUCGUAGGUGAUGUCAUGGGUUGCGUGGCAACAGUGCCCCGUCGGGUGAGGGGUGUCCUCUUGGUACGCCCGCACUAUGGCCACGCUCCGCCCUAGAUUCGGGGGUGGCAGGUUGUACUGUAGCCGCGCCCCAUCUCAUCGCAGUGAAUGGGUGCAAACUUUGAGGAGGCAUAGGGCCGCCCGCUGAUACAUCUCCAACGUAUCUAUAAUUUUUGAUUGUUCCAUGCUAUAAUAUAUUCUGUCUUGGAUGGUUAAUGGGCUUAUUUAUACACUUUCAUAUUAUUUUUGGGACUAACCUAUUAACCAGAGGCCCAACCCAAAUUGCUUUUUUUUGCCUAUUUCAGUGUUUCACAGAAAAAGAAUAUCAAUCGGAGUCCAAAAGGAAUGAAACCUUUAGGAGCGUGAUUUUUGGAACAAACGUGAUCCAGAGGACAUGGAGUGGCGUCAAGAAAUCAACAAGGAGGCCACGAGGCAGGGGGCAUGCCUACCCACCUAGGCGCGCCCUCCACCCUCGUGGGCCCCUCGUGGCUCCAUGCACCGAACUACUUCUUCCUCCUAUAUAUACCUAUGUACCACCGAGCCAUCGAGGAGCACCACAAAAACCUAAUUCCACCGCCGCAACCUUCUAUACCCAUGAGAUCCCAUCUUGGGGCCUUUCCCGGCGCUCCGCCGGAGGGGGCUUUGAUCCUGGAGGGAUUCUAUAUCAACACCAUAGCCUCUCCGAAGAUGUGUGAGUAGUUUACCUUAGACCUUCGGGUCCAUAGUUAUUAGCUAGAUGGCUUCUUCUCUCUCUUUGGAUCCCAAUACAAAGUUCUCCUUGAUUCUCUUGGAGAUCUAUUUGAUGUAAUCUUCUUUUGCGGUGUGUUUGUCGAGAUCCAAUGAAUUGUGGGUUUAUGAUCAAGAUUAUCUAUGUACAAUAUUUGAAUCUUCUCUGAAUUCUUUUAUGUAUGAUUGGUUAUCUUUGCAAGUCUCUUCGAAAUAUCAGUUUGGUUUGGCCUACUAGAUUGAUCUUUCUUAGAAUGGGAGAAGUGCUUAGCUUUGGGUUCAAUCUUGCGGUGCUCGAUCCCAGUGACAGUAGGGGAAACGACACGUAUUCUAUUGUUGCAAUUGAGGAUAAAAAGAUGGGGUUUAUAUCAUAUUGUAUGAGUUUAUCCCUCUACAUCACGUCAUCUUGCUUAAAGCGUUACUCUGUUCUUAUGAACUUAAUACUCUAGAUGCAUGUUGGAUAGCGGUCGAUGUGGGGAGUAAUAGUAGUAGAUGCAGGCAUGAGUCAAUAUACUUGUCACGGACGUGAUACCUAUAUACAUGAUCAUACCUAGAUAUUCUCAUAACUAUGCUCAAUUUUAUCAAUUGCUCGAUAGUAAUUUGUUUACCCACCGUAAUAUGUAUGCUAUCUUGAGAGAAGCCACUAAUCAAACCUAUGGCCCCAGGUCUAUCUUCCAUCAUAUUAAUCUCCCGUCAACAAGCUAUUUCUUGCGCCGUUUAUUUUGCUUUCUUUACUUUUAGUCUUUAUCAUAAAAAUACCAAAAAUAUUAUCUUAUCUUCUCUAUCAGAUCUCACUUUUGCAAGUGGCCAUGAAGGGAUUGGCAACCCCUUUAUCACGUUGGUUGCAAGGUUCUUAUUUUUUGUGUAUGUGCAAGGGACUUGAGCGUGGCCUCCUACUGGAUUGAUACCUUGGUUCUCAAAAACUGAGGGAAAUACUUACGCUACUUUGCUGCAUCACCCUUUCCUCUUCAAGGGAAAACCAACACAGUGAUCAAGAGGUAGCAAGAAGGAUUUCUGGCGCCGUUGCCGGGGAGUCUACGCACAAGUCAAGACAUACCAAGUACCCAUCACAAACUCUUAUCCCUCGCAUUACAUUAUUUGCCAUUUGCCUCUCAUUUUCCUCUCCCCCACUUCACCCUUACCAUUUUAUUCGCCCUCUCUUCCGUUCGUCCUUCUAUUUGCUCGUGUUACCAUGUGCCUUCUAUUUGCUUGCAUCUUUGCUUGCUAAAAAUCUAUUGAUAUGGAUCCACUUAAAGUGUUCUACUUGGAUCAUCUUCGAUCCUUAUGCGCUCAUGCUAAAACCCCAACUAGCCUAGUUGAUGGGAAAUCUUUAGAUGAGCAUGCUCAUUUUGUGUGUCAUCGUUUGUCUGAAAAAGGGAGACUCUUAUGGGAUCAAAUAAAUGGAUUGCUAUGUUAUGCUUGGAAUCUUUGUGAAAUUUGUGAUCUUACUUGUUUCUCUAAGAACCCUGAAAAACACCUCCCCUCCCUAUGUGAGUUUAAUGACAAUGAAAUCUUAUCUUCUUAUGCAAAGGGUGUUUAUAGUUACUAUGAUAUCGAACAAAUUAAAGAAUUUGUUGCUUUUAAGGGUGCUUAUGAAGUUGCUUCUUUAAUUGAAAAGUAUGAUGUUACUCUCUACGAAUCUGAAAUUUUUGACAUACUUAAAUAUUGCUAUGAAAACUAUGCUCAUAAUGUCUAUGUCAAAGAAUUUAUUGAAAGAAUGACCGUUGCUUCGGAAGAAAAUAAUGAUAUGCAUGAAUCUAUAGAUAAUUAUGAUUCCUAUGAUUUGAUUGAAAUAUACCUUGAUGAACAUGAUGCUUGCUAUUCUUGUGGCCAUGAUGCCAAUAUUUGUAAAGAUGAGUUUGCUAUAGUUCCUUAUGUUAAACAUGAGAUCGUUGCUAUUGCACCCAUACUUGAUAGUUCCUUCAACAAAAAGCAUGAUUGCAAUGAUGUUAUCAUAAAUUCUCUUAAUGACAAUUGUGUUAAUGAUAUGCAAAACCUCAAGCUUGGGGAUGCUAGUUUUGCUAUGACUACUAUUUGUUGCAAUGAUCAUGAUUGGGGUGAUUCUUCUUUUGAUCUUGAAAAUUUAUUUAAGCCCCAUGAUGAAUAUGAGAUUGAUAAUAAUGUUUGCAAUAAUAUUGAAAGUGGGUUUGGAAGAGUGUCAACUUUAGAUCCCACAUAUUUGGAGAAUGUUCAAUCUUAUGAAGUUUUUGAUAAAGGUGGGUUUGGAGAGGUCAUGACUUUAGUUAAUGUUAAUCCCACUAUUUUGGAAGAGUGUCAACUUUGCAUACAUGUGGAUCGUGUUAAGAAUAUGUUUUGUGAUAACUAUAUUUUGGAAUUUGAUUAUGAUCCUACAUGUAAUUAUUAUGAGAGGGGGAAACAUGGUGGUAGAAAUUUUCAUGUUACUAAAUUACCUCUCGUUAUGUUGAGAUUGCUAGUGUUUCUUUCCGCUUCCUUGCAUAUGCUAGUUUUUGAUUGCCUUGAUAAUUUGUUUGCCUAUAAUAUGCCUAUGCAUAGGAAGUAUGUUAUACUAAGAUGUGUUUUUCAUGUGUUUUAUGAUGCUCUCUUUGUGCUUCAAUUCUUGUCUUUCAUGUGAGCAUCGUUGAAAUCUUAUGCCUAGCUAAAAGGCUUUAAAGAAAAGCGCUUAUUGGGAGAUAACCCAAUAUUUUUCCUUGCUUUUAUUCAUUAAAUAAUUCAUCUAGCCUCUGUUUAGAUGUGUUUUUAUGCUUUUAAUUAGUGUUUGUGCCAAUUAGAACAUUUGGGAAGACUUGGGGAAAGUCUUUGCGAUCUUGCUGUAAAAACAGAAACUUUAGCGGUCACGAGAUUUGCUGCCAUUUUUACUGGAGAGUGUUAUUUAGUUAAUUCUUUUUGAAGAUGAUUAAUAGAUAAAUUACUCACGUCCAGAAAUUUAUUUUAGAAUUUUUGGGGUUCCAGAAGUAUUCGAAACCUACAUAUUACUACAGACUAUUCUGUUUUUGACAGAUUCUGUUUUUCGUGUGUGUUUGCUUAUUUUGAUGAAUCUAUGGCUAGUAAUAGAGUUUAUGGACCAUAGAAAAGUUGGAAUACAGUAGGUUUAACACCAAUAUAAAUAAAUAAUGAGUUCAUUACAGUACCUUGAAGUGGUGGUUUGUUUUCUUUUACUAACGGAGCUCACGAGAUUUUCUUUUAAGUUUUGUGUUGUGAAGUUUUCAAGUUUUGGGUAAAGAUUUGAUGGAUAAUGGAACAAAGAUUGGCAAGAGCCUAAUCUUGGGGAUGCCCAAGGCACCCCAAGGUAAAAUCCAAGGACAACCAAAAGCUUAAGCUUGGGGAUGCCCUGGAAGGCAUCCCCUCUUUUGUCUUCGUUUAUCGGUAACUUUACUUGGGGCUAUAUUUUUAUUCACCACAUGAUAUGUGUUUUGUUUGGAGCGUCUUGUAUGAUUUGAGUCUUUGCUUUUUAGUUUAUCACAAUCAUCCUCGAUGUACACACAUUUUGAGAGAGACACACAUGAUUCGGAAUUUGUUAGAAUACUCGAUGUGCUUCACUUAUAUCUUUUGAGCUAUAUAGUUUUUGCUCUAGUGCUUCACUAAUAUCUUUUAGAGCACGGUGGUGGUUUUCUUUUAUAGAAAUUAUUGAUCUCUCAUGCUUCACUUAUAUUAUUUUGAGAGUCUUAAAUAGCAUGGUAAUUUUCUUUAAUUGUGAAAUCAAUCUGAAGGUGAUAGGCAUCUAAGAUGAGCAUAAUAAAAACUUCCAUAUUGAGUUCAUUGAAUAUCAUGAGAAGUUUGAUACUUGAUACGUGUUUUGAGAUAUAAAGGUGGUAAUAUUAGAGUGUGCUAGUUGAGUAAUUGUGAAAUUGAGAAAUACUUGUGUUAAGAUUGGCAAGUCCCGUAUCAUGCAUGUAUGGUAAAAGUUGUGCGACAAUUUGGACACAUAAGGUGUUCUUUUAUUGCUUUCCUUCUGAGUGGCGGUCGGGGACGAGCGAUGGUAUUUUCUACCAAUCUAUCCCUCUAGGGGCAUGCGUAGUAGUACUUUGCUUCGAGGGCUAAUAAACUUUUGCAAUAAGUAUAUGAGUUCUUUAUUGUGACGUCCCGAUUCAAUCGUACACUAAUCAUACACGCAAACGUGUACGAUCAAGAUCAGGGACUCACGGGAAGACAUCACAACACAACUCUACAAAUAAAAUAAGUCAUACAAGCAUCAUAUUACAAGCCACGGGCCUCGAGGGCUCGAAUAGAAGAGCUCGAUCAUAGACGAGUUAGCGAAAGCAACAAUAUCUGAGUAUACGUAAGUUAAACAAGUUUGCCUUAAGAAGGCUAGCACAAACUGGGAUACAGAUCGAAAGAGGCGCAGGCCUCCUGCCUGGGAUCCUCCUAAACUACUCCUGGUCGCCGUCAGCAGGCUGCACGUUGUAGUAGGCACCUCCUGAGUAGUAGUAGUCGUCGUCGACGGUGGCGUCUGGAAUAAGGCUAUCAUAUGUGAGUACUCAUCCAAAGUACUCGCAAGCAAGGAGCUACACUACAUAUGUAUGCAUUGGUAUCAACUGGAAUAAGGCUAUCAUAUGUGGACUGAACUGCAAAAAGCCGGAAUAAGAGGGGCAUAGCUAGUCCUUUCGAAGACUACGCUUCUGGUAACCUCCAUCUUGCAGCAGGAGAAGAGAGUAGAUGGUAAGUUCACCAAGUAACAUCGCAUAGCAUAAUCCUAACCGAUGAUCCUCCCCUUGUCGCCUUGUGAGAGAGCGAUCACCGGUUGUAUCUGGCACUUGGAAGGGUUUAUUUUAUUAAGUAUCCGGUUCUAGUUGUCAUAAGGUCAAGGUACAACUCCAAGUCGUCCUGUUACCGAAGAUCAUGGCUAUUCGAAUAGAUUAACUUCCCUACAGGGGUGCACCACAUAACCCAACACGCUCCAUCCCAUUUGGCCGGACACACUUUCCUGGGUCAUGCCCGGCCUCGGAAGAUCAACACGUCGCAGCCCUACCUAGGCACAACAGAGAGGUCAGCACGCCAGUCUAAAUCCUAUGGCGCAGGGGUCUGGGCCCAUCGCCCAUUGCACACCUGCACGUUGCGAGGGUGGCCGGAAGCAGAACUAGCCCCCUUAAUACAAGAGCAUGCUUAACUUCCAAUCGGGCAGAGGAGCUGGAGGGGGAAAGUUGCGAGUUUGCUAUGCUAGGGAUGCGUGGCGGACGAACGAGCUGCGUAUCCGGGUUCGUCUCGUCGUUCUGAGCAACUUUCAUGUACAAAGUUUUUCUAUCCGAGCUACGGUUUAAAAGAUAUAAUUUUCUAAAGAUUUUAUUAAUUUCUGGAAUUUAAUUAAUUAUUUAAAUUAAUUCAAAAUUGGAUUUAUGACAUCAGCAUGAUGUCAUGCUGACAACAGCAGUCAACCGGGGUUGACUGGUCAACCUGACCAGUGGGUCCCACUGGUCAGUGACACAUUUUAAUUAAACAUUAUAAUUAACCUAAUUAGUAUUAAUUAGGGGGGUGGGCCCCACUGUCAUUGACUACUUAAUUAACUAAUUAACAGAUCGGGUUAAUUAGGUAACUAAUGUGUAAUUAAUUUAAUUAGUUGUUUAAUUUAAUUAAUCAAAAUUAAUUAAGUUAAUUAUUUCUUCAAUUAAUUAACUAAUUAAUUUUAUUUUUAUUAAAAAAAUUAAUACGUUCUGGGCAUGGACCCCAUCUGUCAUAGGCCCACAGGGAGCCUUAACGGGCGCCGGGUGGUGGUUUACGGGCGUUGGGCAGGCGGGCGUGGGCGCCCGAGCCUGGUCAGGCGCGGCCCAGGUGGCCGGCGACGGCGCGCAGCGAGCGGAGCGAUGGCAGACGAGGGGCCUGGGCGGUCGGCACGUGCCAGCGACGGUCGGCGCGAGGAGGCUGCGGGGCGCGGGCGGAGCGGCGUGCAGCGAUAGAACGGGCGGGGGGGGAGGUGACACAAGGAGCAGGGGUGCGGCCCGGCGGACGCGGCGGCAGGAGCAUGAGAGGAGCGCGGGUAGAGGAGGCCGGACGCGAGGCAGCGGCAUCGCCGAUGAGCAGCAGCAGAGCAGACCACGGAGUACGGGGGCACGACCCCAGGAGGAUGCGGGCGCGGGAUGCGCGCGGUGACCACGGCGGCAAGGGGGCUGCGGGUAGGCAGAGGAGGCGGGUGCGGUGACUAGCAAGGUCGAGCGGGGUGAGCAGCAGCAGUGGGGUGGCGAUGCGGGGGCAGGGCCACGUGUGACUGUGGGUGGCGGAGACAGGGGAAGGAGAGGAGGGCGAGGCGCGUGUGGGCCGGCGGCGAGAUGCGUGCGCGCGGCCGGAGCGCGUGCGGGGCAGCGAGCUGCAGAGGAAGGGGGAAGGGAGAAGGCGGCGGCUCACAUGGGGGUUCAUAGGGUCAGGGGCAGUGGGUGUCGGGGAGGACGUCGGGGACGACCGUGACGAAGAGGAGGCUGGCCGGCGAGGCGGCAGGCGGGCGAUAGUGUCCUGGCGCGGGGGCGGCGAGGUCGUCGCUGCGAGGGCGAGGCGACGGGGUGGUUCGUGCCCGAUCGAGAUCGGAUCGGGGGAGAGAGGAGUGUAGCGAGUGGGGUGGGUGCCGGUUAGGGUUUGGGUGGAGUGGGGGUUAUGGGGAUACGGGGGUGGGCCGGCCUGGUGGGUCGUGGCCCAGUUGGGCCGGUGGCCUGCUGGGCCGGAGCCCCGGGGGGGUUUCUUUUCCUUUUUUGUUUGUUUUUCUCUUUUGUAUUUUCUUUCUUUUAUUUAUUUUCUCUUCUGUGUUAAUCCAAUUUAAAAUAUUUAUGCAUUUUAUAAAACUGUGUCUUCUACACCAUAAUUAUCUAUGUAAUAUUUAGUACAAACCGAACAUUUUAUUUUAAUGUUUGAAAACUUUUAUUAUUUACCAAAUUUUGAAUUUGAAUUUUGGACCGGUUUUGAUCUAACGAUUGAUUAGCAACAGUAACGUAGGUAACAUGGCACCAUUAGCGUGGGAUUACUGUAGCUUAAUUACCCG
RNAcentral lists this long non-coding RNA (41603 nucleotides) under Triticum aestivum (bread wheat). Its description in RNAcentral is "long non-coding RNA (TAES_LNC025671)". Lineage: Eukaryota; Viridiplantae; Streptophyta; Magnoliopsida; Poales; Poaceae. The record is from RNAcentral.